UACGUAGGGUGCUAGCGUUAUCCGGAUUUACUGGGCUUAAAGGGUGCGUAGGCGGUCUUUCAAGUCGGUGGUUAAAGGUUACGGCUCAACCGUAUUAAGCCGCCGAAACUGGAAGACUUGAGUGCAGGAGAGGAAAGUGGAAUUCUCAGUGUAGCGGUGAAAUGCUUAGAUAUUAGGAGGAAUACCAGUGGCGAAGGCGGCUUACUGGUCUGUGACUGACGCUGAGGCUCGAAAGUGUGGGUAGCAAACAGG
This 252-nucleotide ribosomal RNA is filed under the name uncultured bacterium. Its description in RNAcentral is "partial 16S ribosomal RNA". It matches the Rfam family "Bacterial small subunit ribosomal RNA", at positions 524 to 776 of the family's 1533-position model. The record is from RNAcentral.